AUCUUCCGCAAUGGACGAAAGUCUGACGGAGCAACGCCGCGUGAGUGAUGAAGGUCUUCGGAUCGUAAAACUCUGUUGUUAGGGAAGAACAAGUACUGUUAGAAUAUGGCGGUACCUUGACGGUACCUAACCAGACAGCCACGGCUAACAACGAGCCGGCAGCCGGAGUACUCCGUAGGUGGCAAGGGUUAUCCGGAAUGAUUUGGCGUAAAGACCGCGCCGGCGGUUUCUUAAGACUUAGGUGAAAACCCACGGCUCCACCGUGGAUGUUCUGAGGAAACUGGGAAGCUUGAGUGCAGAAGAGGAGAGUGGAAUUCCAUGUGUAGCGGUGAAAUGCGUAGGGAUAUGGAGGAACACCAGUGGCGAAGGCGACUCUCUGGUCUGCAACUGACGCUGAGGCGCGAAAGCGUGGGGGGCGACCA
RNAcentral lists this ribosomal RNA (422 nucleotides) under uncultured bacterium. Its description in RNAcentral is "partial 16S ribosomal RNA". It matches the Rfam family "Bacterial small subunit ribosomal RNA", at positions 361 to 774 of the family's 1533-position model. The record is from RNAcentral.